RNAcentral lists this transfer RNA (83 nucleotides) under Notoacmeibacter sp. Its description in RNAcentral is "tRNA-Gln". It matches the Rfam family "tRNA". From Rfam's summary of the family: Transfer RNA (tRNA) molecules are approximately 80 nucleotides in length. Their secondary structure includes four short double-helical elements and three loops (D, anti-codon, and T loops). The record is from RNAcentral. Lineage: Bacteria; Pseudomonadati; Pseudomonadota; Alphaproteobacteria; Hyphomicrobiales; Notoacmeibacteraceae.
UGGGGCGUAGCCAAGCGGUAAGGNNGUAAGGCAGCGGUUUUUGGUACCGCCAUUCCCUGGUUCGAAUCCAGGCGCCCCAGCCA